This is a long non-coding RNA of Cyprinus carpio carpio, 1116 nucleotides long. The record is from Ensembl. NCBI's taxonomy places the organism in Eukaryota, Metazoa, Chordata, Actinopteri, Cypriniformes, Cyprinidae.
AUGUUCCUGAAUCUGUUCAUAUACAUAAGUUUGAUGCUAUCAGUCUCAGGUGAAAAGGGUGACAUGACUGUUCACCAGAAACCUUACAAUCUGAUAAUAAAUUACGGCGAAUCUCCUGAAAUUAAGUGCUUCCACAAAAUCCCAGACUAUGACCGCCUGUUGUGGUACAAGCAAUCCCAGAGUGAAGAGUUAACAUUCAUGGGAUAUCUACUUGGUGACACUGGAUACUCAGAAAAAGCUUUCCAGAACAAAAUUAAAAUACGUGGUGAUGCAAAUAAUUUUCAUGGCUCUUUAACUCUGAUCAAUUCUACAUCAGAAAACAGUGCUGUUUAUUUCUGUGCAGCCUAUUACACAGUAACACUAAAUUUGUUCCUCCCUUACAAAAACCCAGUAUUAAGAAUUAUUGUUUAUAGUCCUACACCUGUGAUAAACCACUGCUAGAUAAUAUAAUGCUCUUUUUCAGAGCCUAGUGAGUUCCCUUCCUACUUACACAGGCAGCUGCCAUCUGUGACGUUCUGAUACAAACCAAGCUUUACAUUUAAAUGAUUUUGAACACUCCAUAUAAAUAACUUCAUAUGAAGUGACUCACCUACAACUGAUUUCAAUAGUAUGAUUAUUUUGCUAGUGAAACACACACCUCUAAAUGUGUUCUGUCCAAUUAAAACUUUCCAAACAGAUGAAAAAUUCCUUACUUAGUCUUAGUGUAUAUGCAUGACAUUUGUUUUCUGUUGUUGUCUGUAAUGGCCAAAUACAUUUUAAAUUACUAAAAAUUAUAGUUCACCCAAAAAUGAAAAUUUGAUGUUUAUCUGCUUACCACCAGGGCAUCCAAGAUGUAGGUGACUUUGUUUCUUCAGUAUCACACAGACCAAGAUUUUUAACUCAAACCGUUGCAGUCUAUCACUCUUAUAAUGUAAGUGGAUGGAAUCAUGGAUAAAACAUACAAUAAAACUAAAAAAAAAAAAACAUACACAAACGAAACCAACUUAAACUCUGCGCUCGUUGACGAUACAUUGAUGUGUAAAGACACAAAACUAUCAGUCUGUGCAAGAUUCACACAAUGUCUGAACUGUUAGAACUCUCCUGAUCGUGUCCUCCUGAGUGCAUUCUCAGCAGCAG